UCUAGACUCCCAUUAGCCAUGCGUUGGGUGUAGUACUAAAUGAUCCAGUAUGGUGGCCAAAUCCCAAGAAGUUUGAUCCAGAUCGUUUCAGCCCGGAGAAAGUGUCAGAGCGCCACCCCUACUCCUUUCAACCGUUUGGUUUUGCUGGCAAGAGGAAGUGUCCUGGGUACCGUUUCGCUUACGCAGAAGUGGCUACGGCACUAGCGAACAUUCUGCUGAGGUUUCAGGUUCAUGAGGUCAAAGGUCAGAAGGUCAAGGCCAAGUAUGGACUAGUUACAACCCCUGAAGACGAAGUCUGGAUAACACUGACUGAGAGAACCUCCAAUAAUUCAGUUAAAUAGAUGGAAUUAAAUUUAUUAUUAAAAAAAAACUUCAACCGACAUUUGUCAGAGUGACGUCAUUAAAAAGAAUUAUGUUAAGUACAAGAGUACUGGAGUACAAAUCUGAGAAGCAGCCUUCUUUUUCAUUUCAAAAUUGACGGUAUCUCAACACAAGUACAUUUUGUUUAUUCAUAUUGUUCUAUUUCCUUGUCAAAGACCGUUGAUUUACUCCAUCAUCAUACAACCCGCAAUUUGCAGAUCAUAAAAGAUUUAAUGUCUAUCCAUAUAGAUUUGAUUUUAUGUAAGAACCGUCUAUCUAUAUAAUU
Molecule: long non-coding RNA, 646 nt
Organism: Lingula anatina
Lineage: Eukaryota; Metazoa; Brachiopoda; Lingulata; Lingulida; Lingulidae
Source: RefSeq, a predicted model, not a curated record